GGAUGUGAGGGCGAUCUGGCUGCGACAUCUGUUAUUCCAUUGAUUGCCAGGGUUGAUUUGGCUGAUCUGGCUGGCUAGGUGGGUGUCCCUUUCCUCCCUCACCGCUCCAUGUGCGUCCCUCCCAAAGCUGCAUGCUUCGUCGAAGAGGACGACCACCCCAGGUAGAGGAGGACCGUUUCCUCGAUCAAGGGUAUACAAGUAGCUGCGCUCACCUGCUAGAACCUCCAAACAAGCUCUCAAGAAGUCAGUAUUCAAUAAAAUGUUCACAACUCAAAACUGAAAACCAACUUAUAUCACUCAAACCAAAUGUAAAUCUUU
Unclassified non-coding RNA from Fukomys damarensis (Damara mole-rat), 318 nucleotides. Its record names the gene 7SK. It matches the Rfam family "7SK RNA". Rfam says of the family: 7SK was discovered as an abundant small nuclear RNA in the mid-70s but a possible function has only recently been suggested. Lineage: Eukaryota; Metazoa; Chordata; Mammalia; Rodentia; Bathyergidae. The record is from Ensembl.